Molecule: long non-coding RNA, 584 nt
Filed under: Mytilus galloprovincialis (Mediterranean mussel)
Lineage: Eukaryota; Metazoa; Mollusca; Bivalvia; Mytilida; Mytilidae
Source: RNAcentral
CACUGAGCAAUGAACCGUGAAAAUGAGGUCACGGUCAAAUAAAACCUGUGCGACUGACAUAAAGAUCAUAAAAUAUUUCCAUACACCAAAUAUAGUUGACCUAUGGCAUAUAGUAUUAGAUAAAAAGACCAAAACUCAAAAACUUAACUUUGACCACUGAACCAUGAAAAUGAGGUCAAGGUCACAUGACAUCUGCCCGCUAGACAUGUACACCUUACAAUCAUUCCAUACAAUAAAUAUAGUAGACCUAUUGCAUAUAGUAUGAGAAUAACAGACCAAAACACAAAAAUUUAACUAUAAGCACUGAACCAUGAAAUUGAGGUCAAGGUCAGAUGACACCUGCCAGUUGGACAUGUACACCUUACAGUCCUUCCAUACACCGAAUAUAUUAGCCCUAUUGCUUAUAGUAUCUGAGAUAUGGACUUGACCACCAAAACUUAACCUUGUUCACUGAUCCAUGAAAUGAGGUCGAGGUCAAGUGAAAACUGUCUGACAGACAUGAGGACCUUGCAAGGUACGCACAUAUCAAAUAUAGUUAUCCUAUUACUUAUAAUAAGAGAGAAUUCAACAUUACAAAAAAUUUG